RNAcentral lists this ribosomal RNA (253 nucleotides) under uncultured bacterium. Its description in RNAcentral is "partial 16S ribosomal RNA". It matches the Rfam family "Bacterial small subunit ribosomal RNA", at positions 524 to 776 of the family's 1533-position model. The record is from RNAcentral.
UACAGAGGGUGCGAGCGUUAAUCGGAAUUACUGGGCGUAAAGCGUGCGUAGACGGUUAUGUAAGUCGGGUGUGAAAGCCCCGGGCUCAACCUGGGAAUUGCAUUCGAGACUGCAUAGCUAGGAUGCGGAAGAGGGAAGUGGAAUUUCCGGUGUAGCGGUGAAAUGCGUAGAUAUCUGGAGGAAUACCGGUGGCGAAGGCGGCAUCCUGGACCGAUAUUGACACUGAUGAGCGAAAGCUAGGGGAGCAAACGGG